GCGUUCAAAACUAUCACUCUUGAGUGCAGUAGAGGUAGGCGGAAUUCCUAGUGUAGCGGUGAAAUGCGUAGAUAUUAGGAGGAACACCAGUGGCGAAGGCGGCCCACUGGGCUGUAACUGACGCUGAGGCUCGAAAGCGUGGGUAGCAAACAGGAUUAGAUACCCUGGUAGUCCACGCCGUAAACGAUGAUUACUAGGUGUGGGGGGACUGACCCCUUCCGUGCCGGAGUUGACACAAUAAGUAAUCCACCUGGGGAGUACGACCGCAAGGUUGAAACUCAAAGGAAUUGACGGGGGCCCGCACAAGCAGUGGAGUAUGUGGUUUAAUUCGAAGCAACGCGAAGAACCUUACCAGGUCUUGACAUCGAGUGACGAACUUAGAGAUAAGUUCUUCCUUCGGGACACGAAGACAGGUGGUGCAUGGUUGUCGUCAGCUCGUGUCGUGAGAUGUUGGGUCAAGUCCCGCAACGAGCGCAACCCUUAUCAUUAGUUGCUACGCAAGAGCACUCUAAUGAGACUGCCGUUGAUAAAACGGAGGAAGGUGGGGAUGACGUCAAAUCAUCAUGCCCCUUAUGACCUGGGCUACACACGUACUACAAUGGUGAUUAAACAGAGGGAAGCAACACAGCGAUGUGAAGCAAAUCCCGAAAAAUCAUCUCAGUUCAGAUUGCAGGCUGCAACUCGCCUGCAUGAAGUCGGAAUUGCUAGUAAUCGCGGAUCAGCAUGCCGCGGUGAAUACGUUCCCGGGCCUUGUACACACCGCCCGUCACACCAUGGGAGUCGGUAACACCCGAAGCCAGUAGCCUAACCGCAAGGAGGGCGCUGUCGAAGGUGGGAUUGAUGACUGGGGUGAAGUCGUAACAAAGGUAGCCGUAGCC
Molecule: ribosomal RNA, 878 nt
Filed under: uncultured bacterium
Lineage: Bacteria
Description: bacterial SSU rRNA
Rfam family: Bacterial small subunit ribosomal RNA
Source: RNAcentral